UGAGGAAUAUUGGUCAAUGGGCGGGAGCCUGAACCAGCCAAGCCGCGUGAGGGAAUAAGGCCCUACGGGUCGUAAACCUCUUUUGUCGGGAACAAAAGCGGGGACGCCGUCCCCGUCUGCGUGUACCCGAAAGAAAAAGCAUCGGCUAACUCCGUGCC
This 158-nucleotide ribosomal RNA is filed under the name uncultured bacterium. Its description in RNAcentral is "partial 16S ribosomal RNA". It matches the Rfam family "Bacterial small subunit ribosomal RNA", at positions 355 to 509 of the family's 1533-position model. The record is from RNAcentral.